RNAcentral lists this unclassified non-coding RNA (323 nucleotides) under Hevea brasiliensis (rubber tree). The record is from RNAcentral. Lineage: Eukaryota; Viridiplantae; Streptophyta; Magnoliopsida; Malpighiales; Euphorbiaceae.
CCUUUUAUUAAGUUUGCUGGAAGACAGGAAAUUAGUUUGUUUGAAGCAGGGGAGACUUACUAUUAUCAACUUUGAUGGCUGCAAUGGAUCCUAUAGAUAUCAGUUCUGAUAGUGAUGAUUGGUUUGAAGAUGAUGACUUUGAUACAUCACCUAUAAGGAGAUCUACUGAGUCUAGGGUUCUUCCAUCUUGGGCUACUACGGCAGGCAAGACUCUAGGAGGCAAACUCCACAUACUUCUCCCAGAAGAGAACAUGGUUCUAAUGGGAGCUCAUCAAGUGUAAAUGAUCAUUCAUUUCUAAAAUCUUCACAUCGGUUAACUACAC